GACACAACAAGGUAAUGAGAACACAAACAAACAAGAAAAAAAAUUUGAAUAGGUAAGCGAUCGAUUAAUGAUACAUUAUUUGGCUAAACAACCAUGGUUCUCACUGGGAAAUAUGACAAAACAGGUGUACACCAAAAUAAUGCAAAAAAAUAAACCCAAAAGUUUUGGGUUUUACCCAUCUAUAUUGAACAAGUCAAUAAUCCAGAGGAAACAUCUAAUUUUACUUUUUUUUCCUUGUGGAAUUUUUCAUGUUACUUGGUGCCCAGAUAAAAAGACUUGUUUUCCCAAACUUGCACCUAAUUGGUUUUGCACUAGAUGUAUCCCUUUACUGCUUCAAAAUUUACAAAAGCUAAGAAUCCUGGGCCGGUGGCUGACCUUUACAAGUGCAGUUCCAAGGUA
This 399-nucleotide unclassified non-coding RNA is filed under the name Zea mays. RNAcentral's name for it is "misc RNA Zm00001eb214050". The record is from RNAcentral. Lineage: Eukaryota; Viridiplantae; Streptophyta; Magnoliopsida; Poales; Poaceae.